AUGAACGCUGGCGGCGUGCCUAAUACAUGCAAGUCGAUCGAACAGACGAGGAGCUUGCUCCUCUGACGUUAGCGGCGGACGGGUGAGUAACACGUGGAUAACCUACCUAUAAGACUGGGAUAACUUCGGGAAACCGGAGCUAAUACCGGAUAACAUGUUGAACCGCAUGGUUUAACAGUGAAAGACGGUCUUGCUGUCACUUAUAGAUGGAUCCGCGCCGCAUUAGCUAGUUGGUAAGGUAACGGCUUACCAAGGCAACGAUGCGUAGCCGACCUGAGAGGGUGAUCGGCCACACUGGAACUGAGACACGGACCAGACUCCUACGGGAGGCAGCAGUAGGGAACCUUCCGCAAUGGGCGAAAGCCUGACGGAGCAACGCCGCGUGAGUGAAGAAGGUCUUCGGAUCGUAAAACUCUGUUAUUAGGGAAGAACAAAUGUGUAAGUAACUAUGCACGUCUUGACGGUACCUAAUCAGAAAGCCACGGCUAACUACGUG
Molecule: ribosomal RNA, 496 nt
Filed under: uncultured bacterium
Lineage: Bacteria
Description: partial 16S ribosomal RNA
Rfam family: Bacterial small subunit ribosomal RNA
Source: RNAcentral